AUGAACGCUGGCGGCGUGCUUAACCCCUGCAAGUCGAACGAAGCACUUUAUUUGAUUUCCUUCGGGACUGAUUAUUUUGUGACUGAGUGGCGGACGGGUGAGUAACGCGUGGGUAACCUGCCUUGUACAGGGGGAUAACAGUUGGAAACGGCUGCUAAUACCGCAUAAGCGCACGGCAUCGCAUGAUGCAGUGUGAAAAACUCCGGUGGUAUAAGAUGGACCCGCGUUGGAUUAGCUAGUUGGUGAGGUAACGGCCCACCAAGGCGACGAUCCAUAGCCGACCUGAGAGGGUGACCGGCCACAUUGGGACUGAGACACGGCCCAAACUCCUACGGGAGGCAGCAGUGGGGAAUAUUGCACAAUGGGCGAAAGCCUGAUGCAGCGACGCCGCGUGAGCGAAGAAGUAUUUCGGUAUGUAAAGCUCUAUCAGCAGGGAAGAUAAUGACGGUACCUGACUAAGAAGCACCGGCUAAAUACGUG
This 480-nucleotide ribosomal RNA is filed under the name uncultured bacterium. RNAcentral's name for it is "partial 16S ribosomal RNA". It matches the Rfam family "Bacterial small subunit ribosomal RNA", at positions 29 to 507 of the family's 1533-position model. The record is from RNAcentral.